RNAcentral lists this long non-coding RNA (248 nucleotides) under Homo sapiens (human). RNAcentral's name for it is "HSALNT0064523". Lineage: Eukaryota; Metazoa; Chordata; Mammalia; Primates; Hominidae. The record is from RNAcentral.
AGAUUUGCUUUGGAAGAAAGAACGCUGCAAAUCCUAAUCCAAGAAUGCUUAGGAAGAAGGAUAGAAGCAGAAACAGGAGAGAAUGGAGAGACUCUUUAAGAUGAAGAAAGAAUGUUGGCCUUCAGCGUGUUCUUCAAGCAUAGAGUAAAUUGCACAGGAAACUUCUCUGAUUGAAUAUUGGAGGUCAUCUUUUGGUAAGUGUGGCACACAAUGAAUCUAGGCAUCAUAAAUUCUAAGAUGUAAAUUAC